The submitters of this non-coding RNA (185 nucleotides) gave its source as unclassified sequences. The record is from Rfam.
GCCUUGGGCAUGGCAUAAAACUGCUCACCGUCAAGCAACGCAUCGUCUGAUCAACGGUGGCUCAACGAUGUUUGAUGGCACAAGUAAAUAACGUAGCUGUCUUUUGAGCGGGUUAGCUGCAAUCCGAAACGGAGAACUUCGUUUGGACUGUGGCGCUUUUGUUAUGCCCAUUUUGCAGCUGACCA